GGAAGCGAUCCCCUGCGUGACUGGGUUGCUCGGGUUAGAGCGUCAGGAAGAGCCUAAAGAUUAGACUGUAAGAAAAGAAAAUAGAAGCAGCCAUGUUUCGAAGACCUGUAUUACAGGUACUUCGUCAGUUUGUAAGACAUGAGUCCGAAACAGCUAGCAGUUUGGUUCUUGAAAGAUCCCUGAAUCGUGUGCAUUUACUUGGGCGAGUGGGUCAGGACCCUGUCUUGAGACAGGUGGAAGGAAAAAAUCCAGUCACAAUAUUUUCCCUAGCAACUAACGAGAUGUGGCGAUCAGGGGACAGUGAAGUUUACCAAUUGGGUGAUAUCAGUCAAAAGACAACAUGGCACAGAAUAUCAGUAUUCCGGCCAGGCCUCAGAGACGUGGCAUAUCAGUAUGUGAAAAAGGGGUCUCGAAUUUAUUUGGAAGGGAAAAUAGACUAUGGUGAAUACAUGGAUAAAAAUAAUGUGAGGCGACAAGCAACAACAAUCAUAGCUGGUAAGAAGCUUGUGAAAAUAGCUGUUUUUUUCUUUUUCUCCUUUUUUAAAAACUUGGCUACAUUGUAACUAACUAGGGUUAAGAGUACCAGUACUUACGAGGUAAGACAACUCACUAGAAGAUGUCCAUGACUCUGAUUUCUCUACUUGCUAAGAGUUUCUACAUUUAUCCCUUCCUUUAAAAAAUUAUUUUUAUACUCACAGUUUUAGUCACAAGUAACUUUUGAAUAAAGCCCAAAACUGAAUUGUCCAUCGCAGUACUUAUUGUUGAGAACUACAAAAACUCUGAAUGUAUUGUCUUUUGGAAGGAUCUAGCCCUAACCAGGAAGAAGCGUAUGCCAAGAUAAGAAUUACACUAAUGGGAGUGUGCAGAUUUAUUCAGAUCCUCUUUGGUACUUAGUAUGUGAAAUUUCUGUUUGAAAUUAAGAUUUUUUUAAUUUUAUUUUUUUUGAGCCAGAAUCUCACUCUGUCACCCAGGCUGGAGUGCAAUGGCACGAUCUCGGCUCAUUGCAAUGUCUGUCUCCUGGAUUCAAGUGAUUCUCCUGCCUCAGCCUCCUGAGUAGCUAGGAUUAUAGGUGCGUGCCACACCACCUGGCUAAUUUUUGUAAUUUUCGUAGAGGCGGGGUUUCACCAUGUUGGUCAGGCUGGUCUUGAGCUCCUGACCUCAGGUGAUCCAUCCGCUUCGGCCUCCCAAAGUUGUGAGAUUACAGGCAUGAGCCACUGCGCCCAGCCAAGAAGUUUUUAAUGUUCUCUUUUUUGGUUUUUGUUUUGAGACAGGGUCUCCCUCUGUCAACCAGGCUGGAGUGCAAUGGCGUGAUCACAGCUUAACUGCAGCCUCUACCUCCCCAGGCUCAGGUGAUCUUCCCACCUCAGCCUUCUCCUGAGUAGCUGGGACUACAGGUGUACACCAUCAUGCCUGGCUAAUUUGUCAAUUUUUUU
This 1433-nucleotide small RNA is filed under the name Pongo abelii (Sumatran orangutan). RNAcentral describes it as "retained intron". Lineage: Eukaryota; Metazoa; Chordata; Mammalia; Primates; Hominidae. The record is from RNAcentral.